RNAcentral lists this ribosomal RNA (229 nucleotides) under uncultured bacterium. Its description in RNAcentral is "partial 16S ribosomal RNA". It matches the Rfam family "Bacterial small subunit ribosomal RNA", at positions 568 to 796 of the family's 1533-position model. The record is from RNAcentral.
UGCGUAGGCGGAUUGAUAAGUCAGUGGUGAAAACCUUCAGCUUAACUGGAGACUUGCCAUUGAUACUGUUAGUCUUGAGUACGGUCAAGGUAGGCGGAAUGUGUAAUGUAGCGGUGAAAUACUUAGAUAUUACACAGAACACCGAUUGCGAAGGCAGCUUACUGGGCCAUUACUGACGCUGAGGCACGAAAGCGUGGGGAGCGAACAGGAUUAGAUACCCUGGUAGUCC